RNAcentral lists this ribosomal RNA (506 nucleotides) under uncultured bacterium. RNAcentral describes it as "partial 16S ribosomal RNA". It matches the Rfam family "Bacterial small subunit ribosomal RNA", at positions 30 to 523 of the family's 1533-position model. The record is from RNAcentral.
AUUGAACGCUGGCGGCAGGCCUAACACAUGCAAGUCGGACGGUAGCACAGAGGAGCUUGCUCCUCGGGUGACGAGUGGCGGACGGGUGAGUAAUGUCUGGGGAUCUGCCCGAUAGAGGGGGAUAACCACUGGAAACGGUGGCUAAUACCGCAUAACGUCGCAAGACCAAAGAGGGGGACCUUCGGGCCUCUCACUAUCGGAUGAACCCAGAUGGGAUUAGCUAGUAGGCGGGGUAAUGGACCACCUAGGCGACGAUCCCUAGCUGGUCUGAGAUGAUGACCAGCCACACUGGAACUGAGACACGGUCCAGACUCCUACGGGAGGCAGCAGUGGGGAAUAUUGCACAAUUGGCGCAAGCCUGAUGCAGCCAUGCCGCGUGUAUGAAGAAGGCCCUCGGGUUGUAAAGUACUUUCAGCGGGGAGGAAGGCGAUGUGGUUAAUAACCUUGUCGAUUGACGUUACCCGCAGAAGAAGCACCGGCUAACUCCGUGCCAGCAGCCGCAGUAA